ACUUUUAGAAAUAGCAGCCAAAGAAUUUGGCUAUUUCUUCUACUUUAAGCAGAGUCUCCCUGACAAUGUAUACUCGAAAACAUUACAGGUCGGUAUAGAGGGAAAAAUAACGAAAGUUAUAUAUCCACAUGUAUAUUUACAUACAGAGACAUGCAUGCAUACAUACAAAACCCAGAAGAACAAGCAGUAAGUUAGUCAACAGGUAUAAGGUAAAUAUACCAGCAAGGGUAUGUUUCCUUCUUCCUCAAGACCAAAAUCUUCGAUUCUUCUAAAUAUCCAUUAUAGAGGUAAAUAAUUCGAAAAGCCUAUUUCGUCAUAAGCGCCGAUUUAACAACAAAAAAGAAGAUAAUGCGGUGUAAAAACGAAGAAUAAUCUUAUUGGCCCAAAAGGAAUAAAAUGUAAUAUCGAAGUUUGAAUUGAAAAAUAUUAAAGCAUCGAACUCCGACCCCCGUCGACUAAGGAACCAACAAGAGACCGAAAAGACCCUUUCUGUUGGGUUACUUGAUCAGAAAUCUAUUUCGAAUUGCUUCUACUGUCUUAAGAAAAUGGAAAGAGAUAUAAUGUGGUAUUAGAUACAUUGUUUAAGAAGAGGAACAAAACAGUCACAGCUGAGAAAGUUUUGAUUGGACAUGUACUAUAAAGAAACAUGAAAACAUGAUCUGUACUUAAAACAACAACCUCAGCUCCGUUUUAGAUUUAAUUUGGGGAAGAAAAAGACAUCAUCAGAAAUGAUACAAUACAUUCAAGAUAGGAAACAAUCUGAAAAAUUGACUUACAAUACACUAAUCAAUGGACAACAGCUUGAAUAGUUUAUAACAUGUGUGUUGAUUGCCGUAGAGGUGCCCGGAACGAUCGGGGGCAAGGUGAAGGUCAGCAGAGCAAAAAGUGAGAGAAAAAAAACGGGCGAAAAUCUUGGCAGCAGGAAAUAAAAACCGUUGACAACGAUAAUUCUUGAGAGACGGAAUUUUAAAAUAAAUGGCAAUCGAUGAAUAUUUCAUGCGACACGCAUUCUCUGUACACAAUAGCUAAUAACACGUUAAUAGAAAAUCGCAGGUAAAAAGC
Octopus sinensis (East Asian common octopus) is the source of this 1062-nucleotide long non-coding RNA. RefSeq lists it as uncharacterized. Lineage: Eukaryota; Metazoa; Mollusca; Cephalopoda; Octopoda; Octopodidae. The record is from RefSeq and is a predicted model, not a curated record. The transcript has 2 exons.